Molecule: ribosomal RNA, 98 nt
Filed under: Geobacillus sp. WSUCF-018B
Lineage: Bacteria; Bacillati; Bacillota; Bacilli; Caryophanales; Anoxybacillaceae
Also listed under: 1 other name
Source: RNAcentral
GGGAAACACCCGUUCCCAUCCCGAACACGGAAGUUAAGCCCUCCAGCGCCGAUGGUAGUUGGGGCCAGCGCCCCUGCAAGAGUAGGUCGCUGCUAGGC